GGAGAAGCUCUAUCAGCUACCACCCGCACCUGGACUAAGCAAGGCUGUACACUUAAGAAGGGCAGUGUGCCAGUUUGCAUUUUUUCAUCCCAAACUAAGCAUGCUGGUAGAGCCUCUCAGGCAAAAAGAAAAACAAAAGAAAAGCCCAGCAGUAGCAAACUUCCUGAGCUAGAAAUCAAAGUUCAAAAUUAAUUAAAAUGUUCAGAAAAGGAUGUUGUAAUGAAAAAGCACAUACCAGAAACAUAUGAAGCUAAGAGUUACCUUCCACGUGGAAGAAGUACUGCCUUUACUGAGGACAACCAACCACAGAGAGCCAAUCUCUCUUUGGAUGGCAAGGUGACAUGGGACAAGCCACUACACUGAGUCCUGUCAGUUUCUGCUUUCUGGAAAACAUGUCUAAUAAUACAGCUUUUACAAAAUCUAUUACUGCAUGCUGCUGAAAAGUGCUGCAUAGCAGCACUGCUUUUAUCAUCACCCAACAGAGGGCAUUUAAGCAGAACAUGAUGACUGGCCACGUUUCUUCCACUGAGGACAGCAACUGACAGUGUUCCUCACCAAUUAUGUUUCCUCCACAUGCCUUAAAAACCAAAACCCCAACAAAUAAACCAA
Neopsephotus bourkii (Bourke's parrot) is the source of this 609-nucleotide long non-coding RNA. RefSeq lists it as uncharacterized. The transcript is spliced from 2 exons. Lineage: Eukaryota; Metazoa; Chordata; Aves; Psittaciformes; Psittacidae. The record is from RefSeq and is a predicted model, not a curated record.